Lethenteron reissneri (Far Eastern brook lamprey) is the source of this 907-nucleotide long non-coding RNA. RefSeq lists it as uncharacterized. Lineage: Eukaryota; Metazoa; Chordata; Hyperoartia; Petromyzontiformes; Petromyzontidae. The record is from RefSeq and is a predicted model, not a curated record.
UCCAAAGACCAACUACUGCCCUCCCCCUCAAAAUGUAUUUGUUUACAGCUAUUAACCAGUUGCAUACAAUGUUAUUUUUUAUUUUAGCUGCAGUGCUAAGAGUGAAGUUGGCCGCUAGAGGCCUCUACGUCCCGUCGUCCCUUGCACGGAGAUCGACCCUCGUGACCCGGCACAAACUUAAACCAAAUCUUGACUUAAAUCUUUCGUGACUGCAGGAAUUCAUAUUCUUCGUGGAAGGAAAAGCCCGGUGGGAUCUGGAGAAAAACCCAUCUACGUGACUUUACCGAAAGACCCAAAGAAUAUAAACUAAACGAACGAAACGUUUCAUUUUAUCAGCUGGAGUUUAGGGCCCGCGGGGACCAAUCCCUCCCAGUGAACCCUGGGACCCAGCCACCUUGGAGUUGGAGACCUCCACCUGGCACCCUGGGAUCCUGCACCUGGAGCUGGGACCUUCAACAGGGACCCUCCACCUGAACCCUGGCAGGGUCCUUGCCACCUGGAGACUCCACCACGAGUGAAGUUCCUGCUUCCAUUUGGACUUCGUUCUGCGAACCUGCAUUCCAUACAGAGGACACACGACAAUACAUCCACAUUAAAGCACUUACAUUGAAAUCGCACUUAGUUCCAUGCCCAUGGGUGGGAUUUGAACCUAGAAGCUCUGCAUUACCAGACUCUCACUGCGUGCGCAGAGCCACCGUGUUUCCUACAAGUGGGGUGGGUUUAGAGGCGCUCUAUGUGUCUGUACUGCACGCAUGUGGCUCAUCGUAUGAUUUGUAUAAGAAAGCGAAAAUAUUUACCGUGGGAUUUGAACCCAUGCUAGGAGAGUAAGAGGCUACAUGUCUUACCACUGCAUCGAGAAGGCUUGAUGUUCCGGUUAUUAAAUACUUGGUGAUUUAAUCAUUGCUAU